GAAUUUAUGCGACUAAAGCGACUUUUUUUGAGUCUUAAAGUCGAUCCGAGCCCUGAAUGGUUAAUAUUUGAAGAAAAAUCAGAAACAACUUUAUGUAAUGAAUAAAGGAUUUAGACUUAUAAAUAUAUAUUAUUUGAAUGAGGGACGAUUUAAAAGUCUUUUUAAAAUUCUCUUUAUUUUUCAAUGUGUUAUUUAGAACGUUUAAUUUGUGAAUAAAUUUAAAUUUAUUCAACAGUACAUAAUAAAUCGAUUAUAACAAUAGAUACAAUUCUUUGGUACGUAUGAAAUCCUUGAGAUACUUUGUUAUUUUAUGAAUUUUGUACCAUAAAUCAAGAAACUGAAAUAUACAUAGAAAUGAAAUUUAUCGAGUGGGCACUUACAUAAUUGAUUGGUCCUCAAUGUAAUUAAUAUGUUAAACACUGAAAUUGGGAAUACAUUUUUUUAUUAUUCGAAAAUCAUUUUAAUUCUUUCAUCUUUCCAUAAGAUCAAUUUCGAACUUUUCAGAAUUCACUAUUAAUACUUUAUUUAAUUUAAGAUACUUCAAUACGACAAAAAUUUGUAAACAUUUGUAAUAAAUUAAAGGGUACUCUAAAAAAUUCCACAAAUUUUUCUUAGAGAUUAUACAUACAAUAUUAACAUUUUUAAUGUAUUUUUGUACCUUGCUCUUUCAAUUUAUCAUUUAUAUCGUCAACUUAAGUCAAUAAACGUUAGUUCGAACAAUUCAGGAGAAAAGAAUUCAAUAUAACAAAAAAUAAAUCACCGUAACUUUCCAAUUAGGUUUUUACGCGAAGGCGCAUUCAAUUUAAGUUAUUUUUUCUUGCUUCCAAUUAUUCUUUUACUGAGUAAAUAAUGACAGAAACUAUAAUUAAAAUUGAUUAUGUACUAGUGAAGUAACCUAGAGCAUAAUGUCAUUAUAAAAUCAUCUUUAUGUGAGUCUUAAGAAAAUUGUAAACUGUCCAAUAUUUUACUGACAAUUUUACUGCAAAGAAAUAAUAAAGAUGAAUGAAAUUUUGGGGUAACAAAAUUAUUUUAAUGUAAACUUUAAUACUAAAAAGACAUAGUUUUUGCAUUAAUAAAUUUCCGACUCAGUACAAUUCAAGAAUAGUUUUAUUAGUAAGAGAACAUUAAUAGAGACUCAAAUCAGAACUUCAGAAUAAAUAUAAAUGAUAUCACUAAAAGAGAAUAAAAUAUCAAUCCACAAAUGUUAGUUGAGAAGAAUAGAGAUUAACUUAAGGCCUAAGUAUGAAUAAAGGUGAAGUAAAAGAGGAUACUGAGUAUAGUGACGAGUAGUGAUGAAGUAUUUAUUCAGUGGUUCCUUAAACGUUUUUGGCACAAAUAUGGUUGUUUCAUACUUGUUUGUUCUUAACCGUAUUGUAGAAUAACUUAAAACCCAAAAGAAAUCGUUGGACAAAAAUAAUUCUUAACAUAAUUGAAUGAGUUAACAUAAUAAAGAAAUGUUUAUCAUUUAAAAAGCAAACAUUAGAAUCAGUAAGGAAUGUAAUUUUAAUGAAAUUUGUCUACAAAAAUUAUAAUACACUUCCUUAUUCGUACAUCCAUGAGAUUUCAUUGUACCCUUUAAUGUUUUACUAGAACAGGAUUUGAAUUUAAUAAUACAUUAAAUUUAUAUUUGCAUUGUUUCUAGGUAUUUUAUCUGUAGUAAAAAAAUAAAAUAUUUUCUUAUAAAAUAACAAUAUGAUUAUGCAGACUAAUUUUACAGAAAAAUAUUGAAACACUCGUGUGGAAAUAGUCUGGGUUAGAACUAAUCAUCUGUUUCUAUUCGGGAACUGGCAGAACACUCACAGCUUAAAAUUCCCGUACAGGAUCCUCAAAGGAUCCCUAAAGGUUUUUGUACAGGAUUCUAGGGAUAUCAAAAUUUUCGGAUUUGACUAGGACGUCCGUUGUUAGGGUACACCUAUAGCUAUGAACACCGGUGUCCACCCUUUCUUAUUAUGAACUCACUUAGCUUGACAGUAGUAUGGUUAGCACCCAGAUUUAAUUUCCACACGGGUGUUUAUUAUAAUUAUUUAUCCGUUUACACCAUAGGAUGAAAAAUAAAAUGAUACUUUGAAUAAAACAAUGAUUGCAAAAAAAUUUGGAAGCUAACUUUGAUUUCCCUUAUAAUUUCGAUCACAGAAAGGACCUGGACUCAUUUUUCUGAAGUAUAUCAAAUAGAACGAGGUUCAUUUUUGAUGCUAAUCAAAACAAGUAGCAUAAAUGGGGAUAAUUUUGAGCUCAGGUAUUUUCUCUGAAAAAUAUUGUAAACAGUAAUUUACUAAGGAGAUUAUAUUUAAUGUGAUCUUAAUAUUAUUUUUAAGUCAUCAAUAAUUUAAACAACUUUUAUCAGCAUUUUUCAUACGUAAACGCUUUUGAAAUAUGUGUUAAUAACAUGAAUAUUAAUUUUUAAUUUUAGGAGAUUUAUGUAUAUCUGAAUUCUCUUGGUCCCAGAAUCUAAUAGAAAUCAGAAAACAUACUUUUUUUUGAGUAGAAAGAUAAUUUUAUUAUAUUUGGAAAUUUGAAAACAUUAAUUUGAUAAAUUUGAUGUACUGGAAUCUUGGUUAUACGGAAAUUAGAUCCUGCAUGUUUUCGCUUUUUCGUCAAGGUGACCUUCUCGGAGUACCCGAUCUGUCCGUAUAGCCGAGGUUCCAGUGUACUUCUUUAAACAGUUCUAAUACAUUUAAACACAUGUUCUUGGAUAUUUAAAAUAUAUAUAUAUUUAUUUUCUUAUCUAUUAGAACUUGAAGAAAAAUAUACCUUUAUAUUAUUAGGUAUUUAUAAUUAUUAUUAUGCAAAUGCACCAUUGUGCGCUCAAAAGAUUUAUGUUUUAUUGUUUUUUUAUUUUAUAAUUAUUAUAUUGCUAUUAUUUUCGUUAACGUACGCACUGUAGUCCAGAAUUGUGAGACCAUCUACUUUUUGGAUUAAAAAAUGUUAUAUACUCCAUCAUUUAUUUCGUUAACAUUUACAUAAUAAUUUUUAAACCGAUAUACCUUGUACAAUAAGAACAUGUGAAAACGAUAGGUUAUUUGUAACUCUUGGAAUCGCAUACGUACAUAAAACAUCGUGUACUUAUUACCUUGAGUUACCUAGAGCAAGAACAUUUGCAUGUUUUUCAAUAUAUUCUUUGUUUUGGUCAUGUAUCUAUAUAUAUAAGAAUUUGACAACGUCAACUUUAAAAAUACACUUAUUUGGAAUCAUUGGUGUACUUGACUCUGUUCUACAUUCGAAAAGUUUGGAUUUUUGAUAAAAUCUUAUUUCAAUCAAAAAUCUAAUCUAUAAGUCUAGAUAAAGACGAAUUUCUCUAUCGAUACGUAAUUUAAAACUUAAUGGGCUUACAAUUUUGGACGGCAAUGUACAGGAAUUUUACUAUUAAAUUAAAUAUACAUAUAUACAUUCAUACACGGAAGGCUACAUUUUAAAACUUUUAAGAAAACUACUUAUUUCCGUAUAUUAUCAAAGUUAGUUACUUUCUUUAAGAAAAUAUGUGUAUAUAUAUAUAUUUAUUACGUUGGUCUCAUGAUUUAAGGAUAUAAGUGUUAAAGACUUCUUGAGUCAUUUAUUUUGGGAAAUUUUCGUCAGCGCUCAUUUAAAAGUUUCUUUUAGCAUCGGUGCUUUCUUUAAAUUAGAAAAACAUAGAAAAUUAGAAAGACAUAGAUAAUUAGAAAAAUAACAUUGUGAUGUUGUACAUACAUGAAUAUCCUUACAGUACACAGAUUCCAUUUCUUAUCUUUUUGCAAAAAAUUAAUAACUAAUUUUUUUUUAUUCUUAACUUUAAUGAAAGUAUAAAAAUCUUGUUAAAAUGCAUGUUGGUGGUUCUUCGCGUAGCGCAUGAUUUGUUUAUUAGUAUUAUUUAAUGUUAUUUUUUCUAACUGAAUAAAAAUGAAAAUACAAUCAUCGAAGUUAACAAAUUCGUUGUGGACCGGACGAGGUGUAGAGUUUUUUUUUCACUU
Molecule: long non-coding RNA, 3944 nt
Organism: Leptopilina heterotoma
Lineage: Eukaryota; Metazoa; Arthropoda; Insecta; Hymenoptera; Figitidae
Exons: 2
Source: RefSeq, a predicted model, not a curated record